RNAcentral lists this small nuclear RNA (328 nucleotides) under Equus caballus (horse). RNAcentral describes it as "7SK RNA". It matches the Rfam family "7SK RNA". Rfam says of the family: 7SK was discovered as an abundant small nuclear RNA in the mid-70s but a possible function has only recently been suggested. Lineage: Eukaryota; Metazoa; Chordata; Mammalia; Perissodactyla; Equidae. The record is from Rfam by way of RNAcentral.
GGAUGUGAGGACAAUCUGGCUGAGACAUCUGUCACCCCAUUGAUUGUCAGGGUUGCCUUGGCUGAUCUGGUUGGCGAGGGAGGUGUCCCCCUCCUCCCUCAACACUCCAUGGGUGUCCCUCCUGAAGCUGCAUACUCCAUCAGAGGACAACUUUCCCCAAUAGAGGAGGACCAUUCUUCAGUGUAGGGUAUAUGAGUAGCUGAGCUCUCUCUUGCUAGAAUGUCCAAAUAAGUUCUCAAGGUCCAUUUGUAGAGCAUAGGGUAGCCAAACUUCCAAAGCUCCAGACAUGUCCAAAUGAGGUGCUGCGUGUGGCAGUCUGCCUUUCAAA